CGGUGUUUAACUGGCGUGAUGUGGGACGUCCUACCGGUGGGCUUAGCCUCGCGAGGGGCGGCCCAACUAAUAUCCCGUCGCGGUGCUCUUUACUGAGUGUCGAGUCGGGCCGGUACGUUUACUUUGAACAAAUUAGAGUGCUUAAAGCAGGCUAUCCUCGCCUGAAUACUGCGUGCAUGGAAUAAUGGAAUAGGACCUCGGUUCUAUUUUGUUGGUUUUCGGAACCCCGAGGUAAUGAUUAAUAGGGACAGAUGGGGGCAUUCGUAUUGCGACGUUAGAGGUGAAAUUCUUGGAUCGUCGCAAGACGGACAGAAGCGAAAGCAUUUGCCAAAAAUGUUUUCAUUAAUCAAGAACGAAAGUUAGAGGUUCGAAGGCGAUCAGAUACCGCCCUAGUUCUAACCAUAAACGAUGCCAGCUAGCGAUCCGCCGAAGUUCCUCCGAUGACUCGGCGGGCAGCUUCCGGGAAACCAAAGCUUUUGGGUUCCGGGGGAAGUAUGGUUGCAAAGCUGAAACUUAAAGGAAUUGACGGAAGGGCACCACCAGGAGUGGAGCCUGCGGCUUAAUUUGACUCAACACGGGAAACCUCACCAGGCCCAGACACCGGAAGGAUUGACAGAUUGAUAGCUCUUUCUUGAUUCGGUGGGUGGUGGUGCAUGGCCGUUCUUAGUUGGUGGAGCGAUUUGUCUGGUUAAUUCCGAUAACGAACGAGACUCUAGCCUGCUAAAUAGGCGUACCUUAUGGUAUCGCGAAGGCCCCCGACUUCGGCCGGUGGGUUUUUACUACCAACGUACAAACAAAUCUUCUUAGAGGGACAGGCGG
This 819-nucleotide ribosomal RNA is filed under the name uncultured eukaryote. RNAcentral describes it as "SSU rRNA". It matches the Rfam family "Eukaryotic small subunit ribosomal RNA", at positions 629 to 1426 of the family's 1831-position model. The record is from RNAcentral.